RNAcentral lists this long non-coding RNA (2539 nucleotides) under Sus scrofa (pig). Its description in RNAcentral is "lncRNA (ENSSSCG00000052621.1, ENSSSCG00105001387.1)". Lineage: Eukaryota; Metazoa; Chordata; Mammalia; Artiodactyla; Suidae. The record is from RNAcentral.
GCCACAAUUGUGGCAAACGGAAUUUCCCAGGCUAGGGGUCCAAUUAGAGCUACAGCUGCCAGCCUAUGCCACAGCCACAGUAAUGCAGGAUCUGAGCUGUGUCUGCAACCUACACCACAGCGCAAAGCAAUACUGGAUCCUCAACCACUGAGCAAGGCCAGGGAUCAAACCCACAUCCUCAUGGAUCCUAGUCGGGUUUGUUAACUGCUGAGCCCCAAAGGGAACUCCUAUCCAAGAUUCUUGAGUUGAUAUAAGUGGUAGCUUAGUUAAGUUAGCAAAAUUGAUUUGUCAGGCCACUGGGACUCACGUGAUGCCAAACAAUGACUGAGAACCAGAAACUGUGGUGAUCAAGGACUAUUCCAUGAGUACAAGACAAUAAUUAUUCCAUUGUCGCUGAAAAUCAUGGUGUUUACCACUGCUCCAUACAUCUGUCAAUGAUGAGUGACUAAAAGCAUCCUACAUACAUAUUCAUGAAGCCUUUUUCCUAAGCCUCUCAACUAAGGGAAGUAUUAUUUUCAUCAUCCACCAAGACAAAUAAUAAAAAAGACAACAAGAACAAAAAAUACGUAAAUAAAACAAUGGCACUCUAAAAUGUCUUUGCUAGUGAUAGGCCUGAAACAUGUUCAAGAUUCUUGGUUUUGUUCACCUAACAAAUAUUUAUUGAGUGCUUGUUGUAUACCGCAUACCAUGUCAGCCUUUGUUAGUGAACAAUGCUCUCUUCCCGGAACUAACAACUUAGAGCCUAUGAAAACAUUCAGCCUGCAUGUGUCUCAAAAUACUCCUGCCACCUUGCCAAUUAUGGGCUUAUCAUUUAGGCUGUUUAGUUUAGUUCAGCCUCACAGUUUCUGACUACAUCUGUACAGAUGCAGUAAUUAGUUCAUAUUUCUAUAGCCCGCAUGAGGAAAAGACAUGAAUAUUAAUAGAGCCUUGAUCCCUAAUUUCAGAUGGUUUUACUGUGGGACUUCUGAACCCAGGGAAGUGAUACCUGAAAAGAAAGAACACAAGGUCAGGGUGAGAAAAUCCAUCAAUAGAAGAAUGAGAGGGAACUUAUGUAUUUUAGAGGCAAUCUUCUACAUGCUGCUCAGAAAAGCUUCCUCAAGAUACUAUUCUGUUUAAAGCACUGAAUUGAUUUCCUCCUGACCUUUGGUUUAACUCCACAUUCCUUUAUGUAACUCUAAAGACUCAGCUUAUCUCAUGGGCAGCCUUGAUUUUCAUCUCUGUGCCAGUUUUACAGUGUUCACGCGUCCUGAAAUUUUCUUCCUAGUCUCCUAACUUGGGUAAUUCCUUCUCAACUUCAGGACUUAGAGGAGUCAUUUCUUCUAGAAAACACUCCAUGAUCCCUUCCCCACCAGAGAAUGGGUUAGACACCUUUCUUUCUCUGUUGCUAAAGAAUUCUGUAUUCCUUCCACCCUAGCAUCACACUCUAAUAAUUGCCUUCUGAUGUGUAUAUAGUAGGAGGUCCUUAUAAUUUAUUGUCUAAACCAGAACACUAUUGAAAUAAAAAUAGGGUUAAAAAUAACUACAACUCUAUGUAUUUCAAAAUUAAGUACUUACUAGCUGACAAAUGGAUACAAAUCCUAUAAAAGUAUUUUAAAAGCAAAAGCAAAAUAUUUCUUUAAAAAAGUAGCAGGAGUUUCCAUCAUGGCUCAGUGGUUAACUAACCCAACUAGUAUUCAUGAGAACAUGGGUUUGAUCCCUGGCCUUGCUCAAAUGGUUAAGGAUCCAGCAUUGCUGUGAGCCGUGGUGUAGGUUGCAGACACAGCUCAGAUCCCACAUUGCUGUGGCUGUGGUGUAGGCCAGCAGCUACAGCUCCGAUUCUACCUCUAGCCUGGAAACCUCCAUGUGCUGCCAGGGUGUGCCCCUAAAAAAAAUAAAUAAAUAAAAAUUAAAAAUAAAUUAAAAAACAACAUAUUUAUAUUCAUUAAAGCAAAAAAAACUGUAUUAAUUAUCUUAACACUCAAAUGUAGAAUGAUUAUUCUUGUUAUAUGUUCAUGUAUUCCAAACAGCUUCUUAGUUGUAUAUGUCACGCUACGUCAUGUUGUUUUACUUGUGGAGAAUGUAUUUUUGAAAUAUAGUUGUGUUGUUUUCAGUUUUUUUCAUAAAGUUGCCUGCAGUCUUCAAAACUGUAUUUUAUGUUAACAAAUUUGAAAUUGUCGAAGUUUUUAACUGACCUGACUCUAUAAAACAUGGUAUUUUUUGUUGAGAAAAUACUCUCCCCUUACCAAAAAGCCUGGCAGUCUUAAGAAAUGUUUGCAUAUUCUCAAUUUAAAUGCUUCCUUUGACGUUGAAAUGUUUAAUAUUUUAGUCCAAAUGUUUUAAAAGUCCUAUCUUUUUACUUUUAUUUAGAGUACUUUUCUUCAACAGAUGCUUUUAUUAGACAAAAGUCAUCACAGAAUGAAUUUCAUUGGCGUUCCUAUUGUGGCACAGUGGGUUAAGGAUCUGGCAUUGCCAAAGCUGGAACAUAGGUCACAGCUGCAGCCCAGGUGCUAUCCCUGGCCCAAGAACUUCCAUAUGUCAUGGGUAUGGCCAAAAAAAAAAA